AUACGGAGGAUGCGAGCGUUAUCCGGAUUUAUUGGGUUUAAAGGGAGCGUAGGUGGGAUAUUAAGUCAGCUGUGAAAGUUUGGGGCUCAACCUUAAAAUUGCAGUUGAUACUGGUUUCCUUGAGUACGGUACAGGUGGGCGGAAUUCGUGGUGUAGCGGUGAAAUGCUUAGAUAUCACGAAGAACUCCGAUCGCGAAGGCAGCUCACCGGGCCGGAACUGACACUGAUGCUCGAAAGUGCGGGUAUCAAACAGGAGUAGAUACCCUGGUAGUCCGCACAGUAAACGAUGAAUACUUGUUUCCGGCGAUAUAAUGUCGGAGGCAAAGCGAAAGCGAUAAGUAUUCCACCUGGGGAGUACGCCGGCAACGGUGAAACUCAAAUGAAUUGACGGGG
This 393-nucleotide ribosomal RNA is filed under the name uncultured bacterium. Its description in RNAcentral is "partial 16S ribosomal RNA". It matches the Rfam family "Bacterial small subunit ribosomal RNA", at positions 523 to 918 of the family's 1533-position model. The record is from RNAcentral.